RNAcentral lists this antisense RNA (72 nucleotides) under Actinoplanes derwentensis. RNAcentral describes it as "ASpks TB sRNA". It matches the Rfam family "ASpks TB sRNA". The record is from Rfam by way of RNAcentral. Lineage: Bacteria; Bacillati; Actinomycetota; Actinomycetes; Micromonosporales; Micromonosporaceae.
CUUGACCGACCCCAGCCGCGCCGGCCCCCCGGCCCGGUCCUGGCCGUAGGUGGCCAGCACCGCCUGCGCCUC